RNAcentral lists this ribosomal RNA (254 nucleotides) under uncultured bacterium. RNAcentral's name for it is "partial 16S ribosomal RNA". It matches the Rfam family "Bacterial small subunit ribosomal RNA", at positions 524 to 776 of the family's 1533-position model. The record is from RNAcentral.
CACGUAGGGGGCAAGCGUUGUCCGGAUUUAUUGGGCGUAAAGAGCUCGUAGGUGGUUCGGUAAGUCGGGUGUUAAACCCCCAGGCUCAACCUGGGGACGCCACUCGAUACUGCUGUGACUAGAGUCCGGUAGGGGAGCGUGGAAUUCCUGGUGUAGCGGUGAAAUGCGCAGAUAUCAGGAGGAACACCAAUGGCGAAGGCAGCUCUCUGGUACGUGACUGACGCUGAGACGCGAAAGCGUGGGGAGCGAACAGG